GACGAACCGUGCGAACGUUGUUCGGAUUCACUGGGCUUAAAGGGCGCGUAGGCGGCCGAUCAAGUCAGAUGUGAAAGUCCUGGGCUUAACCUGGGGACUGCAUUUGAUACUGAUUGGCUUGAAUUCGGGAGAGGAUAGCGGAAUUCCCAGUGUAGAGGUGAAAUUCGUAGAUAUUGGGAAGAACACCGGUGGCGAAGGCGGCUAUCUGGACCGACAUUGACGCUGAGGCGCGAAAGCGUGGGGAGCAAACAGG
Molecule: ribosomal RNA, 253 nt
Filed under: uncultured bacterium
Lineage: Bacteria
Description: partial 16S ribosomal RNA
Rfam family: Bacterial small subunit ribosomal RNA
Source: RNAcentral